AACAAGAUGUAGCUUAAAAAAGCUUUUCGUUUACACCGGAACGAUAUCUGUUAAACCCAGAUCACCUU
This 68-nucleotide transfer RNA is filed under the name Megophrys montana (Asian spadefoot toad). RNAcentral describes it as "Megophrys monticola (Asian spadefoot toad) tRNA-Val". It matches the Rfam family "tRNA". Rfam says of the family: Transfer RNA (tRNA) molecules are approximately 80 nucleotides in length. Their secondary structure includes four short double-helical elements and three loops (D, anti-codon, and T loops). Further hydrogen bonds mediate the characteristic L-shaped molecular structure. tRNAs have two regions of fundamental functional importance: the anti-codon, which is responsible for specific mRNA codon recognition, and the 3' end, to which the tRNAs corresponding amino acid is attached (by aminoacyl-tRNA synthetases). tRNAs cope with the degeneracy of the genetic code in two manners: having more than one tRNA (with a specific anti-codon) for a particular amino acid; and 'wobble' base-pairing, i.e. permitting non-standard base-pairing at the 3rd anti-codon position. The record is from RNAcentral. Lineage: Eukaryota; Metazoa; Chordata; Amphibia; Anura; Megophryidae.